GAAAUGCGAUAAGUAAUGUGAAUUGCAGAAUUCAGUGAAUCAUCGAAUCUUUGAACGCACAUUGCGCCCGCCAGUAUUCUGGCGGGCAUGCCUGUUCGAGCGUCAUUACAACCCUCAGGCCCCCGGGCCUGGCGUUGGGGAUCGGCGGAAGCCCCCUGCGGGCACAACGCCGUCCCCCAAAUACAGUGGCGGUCCCGCCGCAGCUUCCAUUGCGUAGUAGCUAACACCUCGCAACUGGAGAGCGGCGCGGCCACGCCGUAAAACACCCAACUUCUGAAUGUUGACCUCGAAUCAGGUAGGAGUACCCGCUGAACUUAAGC
Molecule: unclassified non-coding RNA, 320 nt
Filed under: plant metagenome
Description: partial contains 5.8S ribosomal RNA, internal transcribed spacer 2, and large subunit ribosomal RNA
Rfam family: 5.8S ribosomal RNA (bases 1-105)
Source: RNAcentral